AGUUAUUUUAUAAUGCUAAACUUAUUCCUAAUUAUAAGAGUAUGUGUUUUAAUAUUUGAUUAUCUAAUAUCAUAAUAUUUUGUUGAUUUUUUAAUUUUAAAUUUUUAUUAGAUGUUGAAAAAUGAUUGUUAAGUUAUAAAUUUAUCAUCAUAUGAUUUUUUAAAAUUAACUGUUUUUAUCACUCUGCUAUAUUAAUUGUUCUAAUUGACUUUAACAAUUAUUUAGUGAAAUAUUUAUAUAGUUCUCCUAUUAUUCUAAAUUUUAUAAACUUCAAAUUAUAAAACAGAUAAAUUAUUUUCUGUUUAUAUUUAAUUAACUGACAAAAUAUAUGUUUGUCAAAAGAAGUGUUAUGUCUUUAUGACCGUUUGCAAAUAUUAAAAACCCGGCCCAACUAAAUUUCUGACUUUAUCACCGUUCGGUUUUAAAAAAACACAGAAAUGUAGAGUUUAAAAAAAUAUAUUUGUCUAGAUAUUUCUGAAGACUAUCCCGAUGAGUCGAUUAGCGGGAGACACCGAGAAGCGGUGAAAGAAUCUCAAGUCUUUGCAAGAGAAUAGCGAUGCCAAAGCAAGAAACUGAAAUCUGUUUGUUAUUCAUUCGAAUCGGGGAAGACGAAGAGGACGAUCUGGUUGAUCAGGAAAGAGAUCCAAUAAGAAAACAAUCGAAGUUAGAGAUCGAAACCCAUUUCCAAAUCAUCAUGAAAAUCAGAAGAGCAGAGUGUUUGUUUCCGUUCUAGGGUUUUGAAAACGCAAAGAGCUAAUCGAUUGAAGGAGCUUCCGACAAUACGCAGGUUAUGUAACGGUGAAGGAGACACAUGGAAGAGCUUUGUUCUUUGGUCUUUGAAGCCACUCAUAAUCCAAACAAAAAAACUUACUCUACUUUGGCUCAAUGGAGAUGGAAAGCACGAGCAAAGAACACUGGUGGUUAUGUGACCUUUAUAGGUAUCCUACACCUCAAGCCUUGGAGCGAAGAUUCAGUUUAUGCCCAACACAUAGCAGUUAGUACAACCAGUUGCUGUUCACACAAGGUUACAGAAAACAAAGGUAUUAUAUAAUUGUCCAUAUCUUAUAAAGAACAAAUGUAAAGUAUAAGAUGAUGAAUGCAGAAACUGAUGGUGACAUAGUAGGAGACAUAGAUUGAUUGUCUGCUUCGGCUACAAGAUAGGAAAGGAUAUAAAGUGAUAUAAUGUACUGCAACCGUCAAAGAGAGUUCCUUUAAACAAUUGAAAAAAAAAUUGUUUAUAGUGAUAUUAGAAGCCAUAGAUGUUAGAUGUUUCGAUGGCAGUGGUUUGUUUAGGAAGAGAGGAAGGUUAUUUAUAAUAAGCAUUGGACAUUGAUAGAUAUAGGACUUUGGUAAACUUGCGGGUAUCUCGUAAUCGUAUCUCAAGAGAUACUAAAAUUCGAUAUAGUUACGAUCGUAAUUCCGAAAAUUAGGUAGAUUUAGUUACCAUAUCUUGGAUAUUUGUAACUACUAUGUUUCUUAUUUCUUACAAUUGCUUUUAAUUCG
Long non-coding RNA from Brassica napus (rape), 1503 nucleotides. RefSeq lists it as uncharacterized. NCBI's taxonomy places the organism in Eukaryota, Viridiplantae, Streptophyta, Magnoliopsida, Brassicales, Brassicaceae. The record is from RefSeq and is a predicted model, not a curated record. The transcript is spliced from 4 exons.